RNAcentral lists this ribosomal RNA (400 nucleotides) under phytoplankton environmental sample. RNAcentral describes it as "partial small subunit ribosomal RNA". It matches the Rfam family "Eukaryotic small subunit ribosomal RNA", at positions 587 to 984 of the family's 1831-position model. The record is from RNAcentral.
AGCUCCAUUAGCGUAUAUUAAAGUUGUUGCAGUUAAAAAGCUCGUAGUUGGAUUUCGGUGUGGGCCAGUCGGUCGGCCGCAAGGCUUGUUCACUGGCUGGUCUGCUCUCUCAAUCUCAAAGACUGCACGUGCUCUUCACUGUAGUGUGUGUCAGGAUUUGGGACGUUUACUUUGAAAAAAUUAGAGUGUUCAAAGCAGGCACGUUGUGGCCACUGAAUACAUGAGCAUGGAAUAAUAGAAUAGGACUCCGGUUCCUUUUGUUGGUUUGAGGGCCGAAGUAAUGAUUAAUAGGGAUAGUUGGGGGCAUUAGUAUUUAAUUGUCAGAGGUGGAAUUCUUUGAUUUGUUAAAGACUAACCUAUGCGAAAGCAUUUGCCAAGGAUGUUUUCAUUAAUCAAGAAC